CGAGCUUAUUAUGCAAUCAAUUCUUAUGAUUGUGAUCUCGAACGUUUUGGUAAAUGACUAGCUUUCAUAAUUUUAAAGUCCCAUGGAUUAUUAUUUGGUUUCAGAUUAGUUUAAGCAUGAUUUUGUCAAUGUUCAUUGUGGAGGUUAUGUUUGUUUGUUGGGGCACAUUUCGACUUUCGAGAUAUCGAGCCAACAAUAUCGCUCCGUGACGUCACCACUAAAAUGGUCUGUUUCCCUUUCCCCUCUUUCCUCGCUGACCUUUUAUCCCUUCCCGAUUUGCCGGAUCCCCCCCUCCCUACUGUUUGCAUGUUUUAGGUUAUCUGUGUAGUUUAUUUUUGUUGUCUUUUUUUGCGAUUGAUUAUACAGAUUUGUCAUCCGUGCGAGCUGUAAUAUUUCGUUUAUUACAUAAUUGUUAGUGUAAACUUCGAGAUUUUCGCAUCAUGGAAGAUGAUGUGUUUGAAAUUCCUUUAUCUUCAUUAUCUUGCGAAAGACUGGAUGAUGAUCAACACAUUCUAAUAGCAAAUUCUUUAUCCGAUGAAACCUCUGACUUCAUUCGCCCUCAGGAUGAUUUAGUGUCUUCGGAUGAUAUCCUCAGGAAUGGUGUUCUAAUCCAGACCAGCAAAGGAAUAGAGUGGAUUUCAUUAACAGAAGCAUUGACAAGUGGAGUUGGAGAUUUGAACUUAUCUGUUGAAGAUUUCCAUAGUGUAACUUCGCAAUUUUUUGACUCGCAAGACCUAACUGAUCACUCUGAUGAUCAGUUUGAUUUUCACCAUCUUGCAUCGCCAUUGUUGGAAAGUAUCGAGGAAACUUGUGAAAGUUCAACAGGACUAGAAGACGAUGAUCUCACACCAGCAUGUGCUCCAAAGCUUACCCUUUCACCUACUUCACAUUCCCGUCCAAGUACAGCUGACCGAUCUGCCUCGACUGCCACCAAUUCCGAAAGUAACAACAGCGACUCCUCUACCUUUUCUGUUGCCCCCAAUCAGGUGAAAAGGAAAGGUGGUUGGCCAAAAGGUAGAAAACGGAAACCUGAACUCUCAGAAAAUCGGCCGCCAAAGGCUCCAUCCACUGGCUAUGUCCUGUAUUUGAAUGAGAAAGAAAAUUGUUGAAAAACCGACCAUUUCCAGAGGUUACCAAAAUUCUUGGAAACGAAUGGAGUAGAAUGAGUCUUGCAAAGAAGAAAGUAUAUCUAGACAGAGCUGAAAGAGACAAAAUUCGUUACAAAGAGGAGCUCAGGAAGUACCAUAAGUCAGACGCGUACCUCUCAUACUUAAGGAGGAAAAGAAUAAAAAGUAAGAUUUUCCAUUUAAUAAUUGGAAGGAGCACAUCAAUUUAAUGUUGAAAAAAAAGUCAAUCCAUCUGAAAGACAUUUUAGUUGAAUCCAGAGUUCCUGUGUAAUGAGAGUGAAUACAUCUCGGUCCUGAUGUCACAAACAGUCAGAAAAGUUGUAUGGUUUAAUAAUCUUUUUCUUAACAUUUGGACGUUUCCGAAUUUCUUGCCUCUGUCCCCACUCUCAUUUUGUUUGCUCCGAGAUGUACCCUUAUCUCCCCAGUCCAUGAUCUUUGUAAGUGGUGAAACUGCAUUCUUUAUGACCGUUUAAAUGCUAAAAAAGCCUAUAAAACAAGAGUCAACCAGAAGUGGAUUCCUCAUGCCUUAAAUUUCAGUAACAAAGGAUUUUAGGAGAACCCGCACUGGAGGUAAACAACUACCAAACCAUCCAACAAAUAAUGCCAAAACUAUGGUUUAUUUUAAAACUUUAAGCCAGAAACGGAACUAGUAUGUGUCUCCAGGCACAUUUCAGCUGUCUUGUCCCGAAAAAUAUCUUUAAAAUUGUUUUUUCAGCCCUCUUUCCUUACCCUAAUUCAUUUUUCAGUUGAAAGCCUCCGAUGAUGAUAUUUUAGUGAAAAAGCCCCAGGUUGCAUUCACCUCAGGAUAAUAGCUAGUUUUUUCUUGUAUUUUACUUUCAAUUUCUCUGCUAUCCUUAUAAUACUCACACAAAAGAAAACCACUCUAGAGUCAUUCCAUAUAGAACCUACCAGCCAUGCAACCGCCCGACUCGGAUUUUGAUGAUAAAUUUUUUUUCUUGAUCAGACCACCAAAUAAUGAACUUCUGCAAAAUAUUAGGUCUCAUAUCGAAAAACUCACUGAGAUAUGAAUUUUUGAAGUUUUAAGAAUUUUCAAGAAAGACGUUUCGAACUUCCGAGAAAGAGAGGGUAAUUUUCCCCAAAAAAAUUCACCCCGGGCCCAUUUUUCGUCGGAUUGAAGUGAAAAUUUGACACAAUGUCAAUGAAAGUAUGUAAAUUUAAGAAUAAAAUGCAUAACAUGUUCGACUUCACUCAUUGACGUGCUGCGGUUGAUUGUUCGUUGUGAUUUUGUCUGAUUUUAGCGACAAAACCUUCCCCUCUUCAAAUGCUCAUAACUUUUGAGCUGCAAGUUAUUUUUUGCUCCAAUUUUUUUUUAAAAUGCUCCUAAGAGUAUUAGAAAGACGCCGAAAGAACAAUUCUGAUGGUGUUUGGGCUUUAGUAUCUUUCUUUUUCACUUUUGUUCGAAAAAGGCCUCAAAAACUGAAAAUAACACCAAAAUUGUUCCGAUAAUUGACCAUUACCCUGAAAAGUCAACUCAAAAAUCGCUCAAUUUUUGCCUGAAUGGUCCUUACCAUGUGUACAAUAUGUUUGAAAAAUAAAAUCAAUGGUAUUUUGGGUUUAAAUAUCUUUAACUUCGAGUUUUUUUCCGAAAAAAAGGCCAGCAAAACUGAAAAACACUGAAAUUACACCAUUUAGCGGCCCUAACGUUGGAGUAGCAACUCAAAAAUUGCUCACAUUUAUACUGAAUGGUUCUCACUGCAUGUGAAAUGCGUCUGGGGAAUAAAAGUGAUUGUAUGUUGGGUUUCCAUAACCCUUCUCCCAACACUUUUACUCAAGAGAGGCUCGUUUAACUGAAAAAAGCGCCAGGAAAAUCUCAUUAUUCGACCAUUACAUUGAAAAAACAGUUGAUUGGGGGCUCAGAUUUUUCACCAAAGGACUCUUGUUGUAUGGGAAACACACUAACUUGAGGAGUGAAUAUACUGUAUUCUUGGUUGUAGUAGUUUCCCCCUUCUCUCCAAUCUUUACGAUCGGCUUUAAAGUAAGGAAAUAAAACUGGAGGUAUGUCUUAACUGAUGGGCAUCUGUUAUGGAAUAUGAGUAUGUCACGGGUGUUAGACUCAAAUACGGGUUGAAAGUUCGUGAGACCGUUCGGCACCAGUUGAUUUUUAAUAAAAGGUAGAAUCAACAAACUACUAGAAUGGAUUGAGAAUUAUAGACACUGAAUUUUUAGAGAUGAAAUUUAGAGUUGUAUUGAGUCAAAAGAGAGAGCACAGAAUCACAAGAGUUAAACAGUUUAGAAAAUAGUCACUUAGAAAAUGUGCAAAAAGGCGAGAGUGGGCACAAUGUACUUGUACGGGUCUAGAUGGUAGAGAACCUGGGGUCUAAGAGAUGGGAAAAGACAGACAGACCUAGAUUUUGGGGCAGCGCACGCUUAUAUAAGCUUCCUGAAGUCACGGGUGGUGAGACAACAAGCCUACGCAUGAUUGGCUGGCUAUAAUCUAUGUAGCUAUCAGCUGCAAGUUUAGUAUUUAUGGGUGAUUCUUGGUGAUGGCUGGGAGAUAGGGGUGAAAAAGACGAAAGUGGACGAAAUCCAGCCAUCACUAAUGAGUGUUCUAAAAUUAAUAAGAAACAUUCGAAAAUGUAAGGCAAAAAGAUGAGAAGGUGUUGACAGCAUCCGUAUUCACAUUUAAAUGUGAUUUACUGACUCCUGGAUGGCAUCAUAAUGAGGUUAAUAACUUUCAAAUGUAUUCUGAAAUUAAAAAUAAUGGAAAAGAUAAAAAGUGCUAAUAGGAAUUAUCAGCACAUUAAAUUGUUAAAAAUUGAGGGAGGUUAUUCAUGCUGACUAGAGUUGAAGUAUUGUAAUUAUAGUUUUGAAAAA
This 3962-nucleotide long non-coding RNA is filed under the name Bemisia tabaci. Its description in RNAcentral is "lncRNA ENSSWEETPG010238". Lineage: Eukaryota; Metazoa; Arthropoda; Insecta; Hemiptera; Aleyrodidae. The record is from RNAcentral.